This 895-nucleotide ribosomal RNA is filed under the name Acrophialophora fusispora. Its description in RNAcentral is "eukaryotic LSU rRNA". It matches the Rfam family "Eukaryotic large subunit ribosomal RNA", at positions 50 to 979 of the family's 3401-position model. The record is from RNAcentral. Lineage: Eukaryota; Fungi; Ascomycota; Sordariomycetes; Sordariales; Chaetomiaceae.
GCGGAGGAAAAGAAACCAACAGGGAUUGCCCUAGUAACGGCGAGUGAAGCGGCAACAGCUCAAAUUUGAAAUCUGGCUUCGGCCCGAGUUGUAAUUUGCAGAGGAAGCUUUAGGCGCGGCACCUCCUGAGUCCCCUGGAACGGGGCGCCACAGAGGGUGAGAGCCCCGUAUAGUUGGAUGCCUAGCCUGUGUAAAGCUCCUUCGACGAGUCGAGUAGUUUGGGAAUGCUGCUCAAAAUGGGAGGUAAAUUUCUUCUAAAGCUAAAUACCGGCCAGAGACCGAUAGCGCACAAGUAGAGUGAUCGAAAGAUGAAAAGCACUUUGAAAAGAGGGUUAAAUAGCACGUGAAAUUGUUGAAAGGGAAGCGCUUGUGACCAGACUUGCGCCGGGCUGAUCAUCCGGUGUUCUCACCGGUGCACUCUGCCCGGCUCAGGCCAGCAUCGGUUCUCGCGGGGGGAUAAAGGCCCUGGGAACGUAGCUCCUCCGGGAGUGUUAUAGCCCGGGGCGGAAUGCCCUCGCGGGGACCGAGGUUCGCGCUCUGCAAGGAUGCUGGCGUAAUGGUCAUCAGCGACCCGUCUUGAAACACGGACCAAGGAGUCAAGGUUUUGCGCGAGUGUUUGGGUGUAAAACCCGCACGCGUAAUGAAAGUGAACGUAGGUGAGAGCUUCGGCGCAUCAUCGACCGAUCCUGAUGUUCUCGGAUGGAUUUGAGUAGGAGCGUUAAGCCUUGGACCCGAAAGAUGGUGAACUAUGCUUGGAUAGGGUGAAGCCAGAGGAAACUCUGGUGGAGGCUCGCAGCGGUUCUGACGUGCAAAUCGAUCGUCAAAUCUGAGCAUGGGGGCGAAAGACUAAUCGAACCAUCUAGUAGCUGGUUACCGCCGAAGUUCCCCUUCAGGA